Triplophysa rosa is the source of this 113-nucleotide small nucleolar RNA. The record is from RefSeq and is a predicted model, not a curated record. NCBI's taxonomy places the organism in Eukaryota, Metazoa, Chordata, Actinopteri, Cypriniformes, Nemacheilidae.
UUCUAAUGAUGAGCCUGCCAUGCUAAUACUGAUGCACCAGUUUGACUAUCUGGUCUCUCUGGGUGUAAUGAGUUGAGCAAAACUUCUCACACAUGUAGUGUGAUCUGAAGAAA